Molecule: long non-coding RNA, 1522 nt
Filed under: Nicotiana benthamiana
Lineage: Eukaryota; Viridiplantae; Streptophyta; Magnoliopsida; Solanales; Solanaceae
Description: long non-coding RNA (NBEN_LNC020834)
Source: RNAcentral
UGAAGCAAACAGACCAAAUGAGAAGAAGAAGAGGUAGAACAGGCAACAUCCAGACCAGGAGGCAGUUUCAUAUAAACUUCCCCAGCUAGGUCACCAUGUAAGAAUGCAGUAUUCACAUCAAGUUGAAAGAGAGACCAAUUCUGGUUAACAUCCACAGCAAUGAGGGAUUUGAUAGUUGAGAACUUGACAACUCGAGAAAAGGUCUCACUGAAGUCUAUCCCCUCAACUUGGGUGUCACCCCUAACAACCAUUCUAGCCUUAUGUCUUUCCACAGACCCAUCAGUCCUAUAUAUGAUCUAAUAGACCCAUUUGCAACCAAUAGGUCAUUUACCAGGGGGAAGAGGGACAACAGACCAUGUAUGAUUGGCCCCAAAAGUUGCAAAUUCCCUGGCCAUUGCCUCCUGCCAGGCAGGAAUGGAAGCAGCCUGCUGGUAGGAGGUAGGUUCUGACUGAGGACUGCUAACCAAGGUGUGAAGGCAAGUGGAAGAAGAAAUGGAGGAAGAAAGAGAAGGAGGAAGAGUACAGACAUACUGCUGAAGGUGGGCAGGAAGGACAUGUGCCCUAUUGGAUCUUCUGGGAGCAGAUGAAGAAGGCACUGAACAGUAGUAUGUGAUGGAGAAGAAGGGGAAGAAGAGGGAGAGGCAAGAGGUUGAUGGGUGGAAGAAGAAGAGGGAUUGGGCAGAAGGUCAUCAACAGGAGGAACCCAGGCAGAAGAAGGAUUUAGAUGGGGAGGGGAGCCAAGGGAAUAAUUCUCUGGAGAGGCAAAAGGAAAGACAUCCUCAUGAAAAAUGUCAUCCCUGGAGAUCAGGGUAAGCUUAGACUUCAAAUUAUACAGCUUGUAGCCCUUCUUAGCCAAUGGGUAACCCAGGAAAACACAGGGAUCAGCUUUGGGCUGGAAUUUAUCCCUAUUCUGUUUAGGGACAGAGGAAAAACAUAAGCAACCAAAUAUUUUAAGAUUGUUGUAGGAAGGAAUUUGGCCAAACAGUAAUUCAAAAGGGGAUUUGUUGUUAAGCAGUUUGGAAGGAAACCUGUUAAUGAGGUAGGUGGCAGUAAGCACACAAUCACCCCAAAACUUAAUGGGUAGCUGAGAAUGAUAGAGUAGAGCUCUGGAGGUUUCUAGCAGGUAUCUAUACUUUCUCUCAACAACACCAUUUUGUUGUGGUGUGUGAGAGCAAGAAGUUUGAUGCAUUACGCCAUGAUCAGCAAAGAAGUUGCUGAUCACAGCCACUAGAACCAAGUUCAAAUGCAUUAUCACUCAUAAUGGUUUGUACCACAGAGUGGAAUUGAGUCUUAACCAUGGCAAUGAAGGCUUUAAUGAGGGGAAAGGCAUUGCUCUUGGACCCCAUAAGGUGGGUCCAAGUAGCUCUGGUAAAAUCAUCAACUAUUGGGAAAGGCAUUGCUCUUGGACACCAUAAGGUGGGUCCAGGUAGCUCUGGUAAAAUCAUCAACUAUUGUUAAAAAAUAUCUACAACCAUUAUGAGUAGAAGUGGCAUAGGGACCCCAUGUAUCAACAUGGAUUAGU